Molecule: long non-coding RNA, 2170 nt
Filed under: Panax ginseng (ginseng)
Lineage: Eukaryota; Viridiplantae; Streptophyta; Magnoliopsida; Apiales; Araliaceae
Description: long non-coding RNA (PGIN_LNC008209)
Source: RNAcentral
GCAGUUACACCAAUUAGAGGAGGAAAAGAGGGAUCCGUUCCAUUUCAUUUCCAUACUCAGAACAUUUUCUUUCCUUAUCAUAUUGCAAAGCAAGAAAAAGAACUAAGGAGAGCUAGCUGAGAAGAGAGGGAGCUCGGAUGGCUACCAUGGGAGGAGAGAAAACCAACUAGCAAAACUAAACUCCAUCAACAUCAUCCUCCAUCUUCAUCUGCUCCACCAAAAGCUUCAUAUAUUCUAGAGAGAAAAAGAAAUGAGUGGAGAGUUUAAGCCUUGAUAAGGCUACGGGAGGAUUCAUGGAAGAAGAUAUGAUGAUUCUAGCAAGAUCUAGCAAAGCAUCUAGCAUCUUAGAGGAAGAAAUCUAAGAAGUAAGUUCUUUAAAACCCUAACUCUUAUUUAUAUCCCUAAGUUUCAUAUCUUGUUAGAUCUUAUUGAUAUUUUGAGUUAUGGGUUGAGGAACAUCAUAAGGAUGAUGUUCAAAAGUUAUAUGAACCAUUAAAAGCAUCCAAGUGGAAUCAAACAAGCAAAAAUUCGAUCCUAUGCAUAAAGGAUGAACAUAUGGUUAAAAGAACAUGAAUGGACUGUUAUGGACCGAGUUUGAGGACAUUUUGUGGUUGUAUUUUACGUUUAAAAAUUUAAUACGAAAGUGGUAUAUUAUACUUCUUUGUGUUAUAAAGAUAACCCAGUUGGAAUGAACCAAAACGGAGUUAAAAUAAAUCCGUGGUAUGAUUUUAGUAAAACAUGUAAAACGAACAAGUUAAAACUAUUUUUGGGGGCUGUUCUUGAGCCAAUGUUUAUGAUGGUCUAGAAUGGAGAAUUAAGUUUUGUUAUGGUGGGUUGUGCUCUUUAGAGUUACGGAUAUAACCCAAUUGGAAUGAAGCAAAAAGAAGCUAAAACGAAUUUAUAGUGAAUGUUUUAGUAAAACAUGUAAAAACUGAAAAUUUGUAGACUGCUGACCCUAAGGAAAAAUUUAGCUAGAAUUUCUAGAAAAUUCUGGAUUUCUAGGGUAGUAUAGUAAACUGAAUAAGGAAGCCAUAGCCUUUGGAACGGACCCAUUCCGAGUUCGGACGAGCGAGUUAUGGCGUUCUACAGUAAACACAUCAAAACUGUCCAAUUUGGAAAAUCAGAUCCAGACUUGUCUCUUGUAUGAAUUUUCUGUACUUGUGUGUUCCAAAUUUGAAAAUGGUUAAAGCAUAAAAGUUGUAUCCCCGGAAGUUAGCUAUGCGUGGGCGCAAAAAUCGUUCAAAAAUAUUUUGAAAUGAAUUAGUUAAUGAUUGUUUUAGCGAGAGAGGGUAAAACUGGAAAAAAAUUGAAUAACUUAACUGUCCAAAUAUUUGUGUGGCUAUUUUAGGGUAGUUGGCAUGUACCAAAAAUUAGGGCCUUUUGUGUGCUGAAAGUACACAUUAUCAGGAAGUUCCAGUCCAAAAAUGGGCUCAAUCCGACUUUUGAGGCGAGAGUUAUGACCAACUGAAAAUUUAAGAAUUAAAACUUGAAACUGAUAAAUAUGAACCUACACAACCCAGAAAAUUAUGAAAUAUUAACGGGAAGUGCGUGAUGAUACGAAGAAGGUUCCAUGUAAAUUUUAGGAUGUUUGGGUAAAGACUAAAUUUAUUAAAAAUGCUGCAAUUUUGAGCAUUAAUGGCCUUUUAAGAAAAUAGUAAAUAAAGCUGAAAAAUUAAGGGAAAAAUAUUUUGCGUGUAAAAUAUUUUUACCUAAGUAUGGCCAAAAAGGAUAAAAAUAAUAAGGUAUCUAAGUGUCAUUGAUAAAUAUGUUGUGGUCAAAAAAGUAAGAAAGAAAUAAUUAAAUAUUGAUUGAUAAGUUAUAUAAUGUAAUUUUUUGACUUAUUUGUAAUAGAAAUGGAUGAACAAAGACUAAGGACGGGUAAUAUGAUUAUCCCUAUAUUAAUAUUAUAAUUUGAUAAUAAAUAUCGGGUAUGCAAUGAAGAAUGAUGUACGAGGAAUGUUAAGCGAUGAAAGAGGUUGCGCAAUGGACGUUCGAUGAGCAUUUUGAGAUAAGCAAAAUCAAAGGCAAGUUUUUCAGUACUUGUUGCUUUGUGUUAUGUGAAAAUCUUGUGAGGUUAUUAUGUGCAUUAAGUGUUGCAAAUGCGAUGUAAACUGUUAAUAUUCAGUUGAUGAUCGAUAUUAAUUGUUCUAUGUGAACCUUAUAACAUGAG